CUUGAAACACGGACCAAGGAGUCUAGCAUGUGCGCGAGUCAUUGGGAAUAACUAAACCUAAAGGCGCAAUGAAAGUGAAGGUCCGCCUCGCGCGGACCGAGGGAAGAUGGGCGUGCACGCUUGCGUGCCGCUCCGCACUCCCGGGGCGUCUCGUUCUCAUUGCGAGAAGAGGCGCACCAAGAGCGUACACGCUGGGACCCGAAAGAUGGUGAACUAUGCCUGGUCAGGACGAAGUCAGGGGAAACCCUGAUGGAGGUCCGUAGCGAUUCUGACGUGCAAAUCGAUCGUCGGAACUGGGUAUAGGGGCGAAAGACUAAUCGAACCAUCUAGUAGCUGGUUCCCUCCGAAGUUUCCCUCAGGAUAGCUGGCGCUCGUCGCCUACGAGUCUCAUCCGGUAAAGCGAAUGAUUAGAGGCAUUGGGGUCGAAACGGCCUCAACCUAUUCUCAAACUUUAAAUGGGUGAGAUCUCCGGCUUGCUCGAACUUAUGAAGCCGCGAGACACGGAUCAGAGUGCCAAGUGGGCCAUUUUUGGUAAGCAGAACUGGCGCUGUGGGAUGAACCAAACGCCGAGUUAAAGCGCCUAAAUCGACGCUUAUGGGAUACCAUGAAAGGCGUUGGUAACUUAAGACAGCAGGACGGUGGCCAUGGAAGUCGGAAUCCGCUAA
Molecule: ribosomal RNA, 665 nt
Filed under: Trichodes leucopsideus
Lineage: Eukaryota; Metazoa; Arthropoda; Insecta; Coleoptera; Cleridae
Description: eukaryotic LSU rRNA
Rfam family: Eukaryotic large subunit ribosomal RNA
Source: RNAcentral